AUACGGAGGAUCCGAGCGUUAUCCGGAUUUAUUGGGUUUAAAGGGAGCGUAGGCGGGAGAUCAAGUCAGCUGUGAAAUGUAGAUGCUCAACAUCUGCACUGCAGUUGAAACUGGUUUUCUUGAGUGCGUAAGGGGCAGGCGGAAUUCGUCGGGUAGCGGUGAAAUGCUUAGAUAUGACGAAGAACUCCGAUCGCGAAGGCAGCCUGCCGGGCCGCGACUGACGCUGAAGCUCGAAGGUGCGGGUAUCGAACAGGAUUAGAUACCCUGGUAGUCCGCACAGUAAACGAUGGAUACUCGCUGUCGGCGAUAUACGGUCGGUGGCCAAGCGAAAGCGUUAAGUAUCCCACCUGGGGAGUACGCCGGCAACGGUGAAACUUAAAGGAAUUGGCGGGG
This 393-nucleotide ribosomal RNA is filed under the name uncultured bacterium. Its description in RNAcentral is "partial 16S ribosomal RNA". It matches the Rfam family "Bacterial small subunit ribosomal RNA", at positions 523 to 918 of the family's 1533-position model. The record is from RNAcentral.